Molecule: ribosomal RNA, 540 nt
Filed under: uncultured Bacteroidota bacterium
Lineage: Bacteria; Pseudomonadati; Bacteroidota
Description: bacterial SSU rRNA
Rfam family: Bacterial small subunit ribosomal RNA
Source: RNAcentral
GGCGCACGGGUGAGUAACACGUAUGCAACCUACCCUGUACAGGGGGAUAGCCCGGAGAAAUUCGGAUUAAUACCCCAUAAUGAUAUUAAGAGGCAUCUUUUGAUAUUUAAAGUUUCGACGGUACGGGAUGGGCAUGCGCAACAUUAGCUAGUUGGUAGGGUAACGGCCUACCAAGGCUACGAUGUUUAGGGGACCUGAGAGGGUGAUCCCCCACACUGGUACUGAGACACGGACCAGACUCCUACGGGAGGCAGCAGUGAGGAAUAUUGGUCAAUGGGCGUAAGCCUGAACCAGCCAUCCCGCGUGCAGGAAGAAGGCGCUAUGCGUUGUAAACUGCUUUUCCAGGGGAAGAAAACCCUCGACGUGUCGGGGCUUGCCGGUACCCUGGGAAUAAGCAUCGGCUAACUCCGUGCCAGCAGCCGCGGUAAUACGGAGGAUGCGAGCGUUAUCCGGAUUUAUUGGGUUUAAAGGGUGCGUAGGCGGAUUAAUAAGUCAGUGGUGAAAACCUGCAGCUUAACUGUAGAACUGCCAUUGAUACUG